Molecule: ribosomal RNA, 168 nt
Filed under: Pichia cactophila
Lineage: Eukaryota; Fungi; Ascomycota; Pichiomycetes; Pichiales; Pichiaceae
Description: partial 18S rRNA
Rfam family: Eukaryotic small subunit ribosomal RNA
Source: RNAcentral
GGGCCGCACGCGCGCUACACUGACGGAGCCAGCAAGUACAACCUUGGUCGAGAGGCCUGGGUAAUCUCGUGAAACUCCGUCGUGCUGGGGAUAGAGCAUUGUAAUUUUUGCUCUUCAACGAGGAAUUCCUAGUAAGCGCAAGUCAUCAACUUGCGUUGAUUACGUCCC